AGCAGCCGCGGUAAUUCCAGCUCCAAUAGCGUAUAUUAAAGUUGUUGCAGUUAAAAAGCUCGUAGUUGAAUUUCGGGAUUGACACAUCGGUCGUGCCUUAAGGGGUGUGAACUGGUGUAGUCAAUUUCUCACCUUCUGGAGAACCGCGAUGUCCUUAAUUGGGUGCCGCGAGGAACCAGGACCUUUACUUUGAAAAAAUUAGAGUGUUUAAAGCAGGCAUUUUUGCUUGAAUACAUUAGCAUGGAAUAAUAAAGUAGGACGGCAUGAUUCUAUUUUGUUGGUUUCUAGGAUCACCGUAAUGAUUGAUAGGGAUAGUUGGGGGCAUUAGUAUUCAAUUGUCAGAGGUGAAAUUCUUGGAUUUAUUGAAGACUAACUACUGCGAAAGCAGUUGCCAAGGAUGUUUUCAUUAAUCAAGAACGAAAGUUAGGGGAUCGAAGACGAUCAGAUACCGUCGUAGUCUUAACCAUAAACUAUGCCGACUAGGAAUCAGACGAUGUUAAUUUUUUAAUGACUCGUUUGGCACCUUACG
RNAcentral lists this ribosomal RNA (529 nucleotides) under uncultured Glomus. RNAcentral describes it as "SSU rRNA". It matches the Rfam family "Eukaryotic small subunit ribosomal RNA", at positions 569 to 1092 of the family's 1831-position model. The record is from RNAcentral. Lineage: Eukaryota; Fungi; Glomeromycota; Glomeromycetes; Glomerales; Glomeraceae.